Molecule: ribosomal RNA, 439 nt
Filed under: Microbacterium sp.
Lineage: Bacteria; Bacillati; Actinomycetota; Actinomycetes; Micrococcales; Microbacteriaceae
Description: bacterial SSU rRNA
Rfam family: Bacterial small subunit ribosomal RNA
Source: RNAcentral
ACGAUGAAGGGGGAGCUUGCUUCCCUGGAUUAGUGGCGAACGGGUGAGUAACACGUGAGCAAUCUGCCCUUGACUCUGGGAUAAGCGCUGGAAACGGCGUCUAAUACCGGAUACGAGCUGCGAAGGCAUCUUCAGCAGCUGGAAAGAACUUCGGUCAAGGAUGAGCUCGCGGCCUAUCAGCUUGUUGGUGAGGUAAUGGCUCACCAAGGCGACGACGGGUAGCCGGCCUGAGAGGGUGACCGGCCACACUGGGACUGAGACACGGCCCAGACUCCUACGGGAGGCAGCAGUGGGGAAUAUUGCACAAUGGGCGCAAGCCUGAUGCAGCAACGCCGCGUGAGGGAUGACGGCCUUCGGGUUGUAAACCUCUUUUAGCAGGGAAGAAGCGAGAGUGACGGUACCUGCAGAAAAAGCACCGGCUAACUACGUGCCAGCCGCC